RNAcentral lists this ribosomal RNA (467 nucleotides) under uncultured bacterium. RNAcentral describes it as "partial 16S ribosomal RNA". It matches the Rfam family "Bacterial small subunit ribosomal RNA", at positions 28 to 506 of the family's 1533-position model. The record is from RNAcentral.
GACGAACGCUGGCGGCGUGCUUAACACAUGCAAGUCGAACGGAAAGGCCCUGCUUUUGUUGCUUUCUCGAUUGGCGAACGGGUGAGUAACACGUGAGUAACCUGCCCUUGACUUUGUGAUAACUUCAGGAAACUGGGGCUAAUACCGGAUAUGAGCUCCUGCUGCAUGUUGUUGGUUGGAAAGUUUCGGCGGUUGUGUAUGUACUCGCGGCUUAUCAGCUUGUUGGGCGGGUAGCGGCUUACAAAGGAUUUGACGGGUAGCCGGCCUGAGAGGGUGACAGGGCACAUAGGGCCUGAGGUACGGCCCAGAGUCAUACGGGAGGCAGCAGUGGGGAAUAUUGCAAGAUGCGCGGAAGCAUGAUGCAGGAACGCCGCGUGGGGGAUGACGGCUUUUGGGUUGUAACAAGCUUUCGAGUGUGAAGAAGCGUCAGUGCCGGUACUGGGUAAAGAAGCACCGGCUAAUUCCGU